AUUGCACGCUGGCGGCAGGCUUAACCCAUGCAAGUCGAACGAGUGGCGGACGGGUGAGUAAUGCUUGGGAAUCUGGCUUAUAGAUGGGGAUCACGACGGGAAACUGUCGCUAAUACCGCGUACCAUAGGAUGAGCCCAAGUGGGAUUAGGUAUUUGGUGGGGUAAUGGCCUACCAGGCCGACGAUCUCUAGCUGGUAUGAGAGGAUGACCGGCCAAACCGGGACGGAGACACGGCCCGGACUCCUACGGGAGGCAGAAGUGGGGAAUAUUGCGAAAUGGGGGCAACCUGACGCAGCCAUGCCGCGUGAAGGAAGAAGGCCUUCGGGUUGUAAAGUUCUUUCGGUGACGAGGCGUUAAUCACAGAAGAAGCACCGGCUAACUCCGUGCCAGCAGCCGCGGUAAUUC
This 405-nucleotide ribosomal RNA is filed under the name uncultured bacterium. RNAcentral's name for it is "partial 16S ribosomal RNA". It matches the Rfam family "Bacterial small subunit ribosomal RNA", at positions 30 to 526 of the family's 1533-position model. The record is from RNAcentral.